Molecule: unclassified non-coding RNA, 140 nt
Filed under: uncultured Helotiales
Lineage: Eukaryota; Fungi; Ascomycota; Leotiomycetes; Helotiales
Description: sequence contains ITS2
Source: RNAcentral
UGACCACUCAAGCCUAGCUUGGUAUUGGGGUUCGCGGUCUCGCGGCCCCUAAAGUCAGUGGCGGUGCCGUCUGGCUCUAAGCGUAGUAAUUCUCUCGCUAUAGUCCGGUUGGUUGCUUGCCAAAACCCCCAACUUCUCAC